AGCAGGCAAAUUUUAACCCAGAACAGUCUCACAGAUCCAGAAAAGAGCAGCACCAACAACCAAUCAAUGAACUUGAUUUACCCAAAAUGAAGUCGAAAUUAAAUACUGAAUAGACUCGGAGACUUCAAUCAACCAAACACAAGAAUUUUCAAGUUGUUUUCCUCUUUAAGCUAGCCAGAGAUUUGAGACAGUUGCUGAAAAAAACUAGAAAUUGAUCUAAGGAACUCAAUGUAACAGUGUUUUUGAAUUUUCUAUUAUAUUUCCUUUUGAUUUUCUGAAUUUUUUGAAGAAAGCUAAGAUCUAAAGGAGUUCGGAUUUGAAAUUCAAAUUUCAGAUCUAUGAAACUUAAAGAAUGUUUU
RNAcentral lists this long non-coding RNA (359 nucleotides) under Nicotiana benthamiana. Its description in RNAcentral is "long non-coding RNA (NBEN_LNC020460)". The record is from RNAcentral. Lineage: Eukaryota; Viridiplantae; Streptophyta; Magnoliopsida; Solanales; Solanaceae.